RNAcentral lists this unclassified non-coding RNA (151 nucleotides) under uncultured Rozellomycota. RNAcentral's name for it is "uncultured Cryptomycota sequence contains ITS2". The record is from RNAcentral. Lineage: Eukaryota; Fungi; Rozellomycota.
ACGUUGAUACGCAUAUUGAUUGUGCGUGAGUUGUCCUCUAUCCAAGAAACGGGAUUGGGUUUAAAGGGAGCAAGUAUGUGGGUCCAGGAGGACUAGCCCGAGUGCUAAGCAUUCUUGGUAUGUUCUCCUCGCUCAUUGUUCAUCACUCUAU